Molecule: ribosomal RNA, 1315 nt
Filed under: uncultured organism
Description: bacterial SSU rRNA
Rfam family: Bacterial small subunit ribosomal RNA
Source: RNAcentral
GUGGUUGAUACAUGCAAGUCGAACGGGAAAGCUCCCUUCGGGGAGCGAGUACAGUGGCGGACGGGUGAGUACACGUGGUCACGUACCCCCGAGACCGGUAUAGCCGCCCGAAAGGGUGGAUAAUCCCGGAUAAUGCUGCGACGUCGCCUGGCGUUGCAGCCAAAGGUUUACUCCGCUCGGGGAGCGGAUCGCGGCCUAUCAGCUUGUUGGUGAGGUAACGGCUCACCAAGGCGACGACGGGUAGCCGGCCUGAGAGGGUGAACGGCCACACUGGGACUGAGACACGGCCCAGACUCCUACGGGAGGCAGCAGUGCUGAAUCAUUCACAAUGGGCGCAAGCCUGAUGAUGCGACGCCGCGUGGAGGAUGAAGGCUUUCGGGUUGUAAACUCCUGUCAGGGAUUAGGAAUUUUGACCAAUCCCAGAGGAAGCACCGGCUAAAUUCGUGCCAGCAGCCGCGGUAACACGAAUGGUGCAAGCGUUGUUCGGAAUCACUGGGCAUAAAGAGUGCGUAGGCGGCGCGGUAAGUCAACUGUGAAAGCCCCCGGCUCAACCGGGGAAUUGCAGCUGAUACUGCCGUGCUUGAGGGUGCGAGGGGUGAGCGGAAUUCCAGGUGUAGCGGUGAAAUGCGUAGAUAUCUGGGAGAACGCCGGAGGCGAAGGCGGCUCACUGGCGCAUACCUGACGCUGAGGCACGAAAGCGUGGGGAGCAAACAGGAUUAGAUACCCCUGGUAGUCCACGCAGUAAACGAUGGGUACUAGGUGGAGGGGAACACCGAUUCACUCUCCGCCGUAGCUAACGCGCUAAGUACCCCGCCUGGGGAGUAUGGUCGCAAGGCUAAAACUCAAAGGAAUUGACGGGGGCUCACACAAGCGGUGGAGGAUGUUGUUCAAUUCGAAGCAACGCGAAGAACCUUACCUGGGCUUGACAUGCUGGUGGUACAACCCCGAAAGGGUGCGGACCCGGGUAAAACCGGGAGCCAGCACAGGUGCUGCAUGGCUGUCGUCAGCUCGUGUCGUGAGAUGUCGGGUUAAGUCCCUUAACGAGCGAAACCCUUGUCGCCAGUUGCUACCGGGUUAUGCCGGGCACUCUGACGAGACUGCCGGUGUCAAACCGGAGGAAGGUGGGGACGACGUCAAGUCAUCAUGGUCCUUACGUCCAGGGCUACAAACGUCCUACAAUGGCCGGUACAAUGAGAAGCAAUGCCGCGAGGCGGAGCCAAUCUCCAAAGCCGGCCCUAGUUCAGAUUGGAGGCUGCAAUUCGCCUCCAUGAAGGUGGAAUCGCUAGUAACCGGAGAUCAGCAAUGCUUCGGUGAU